GAUGAACGCUGACAGAAUGCUUAACACAUGCAAGUCGAUGGGGAAGUGGUGCUUGCACCAUGGCAACCAUGGCGGACGGGUGAGUAACGCGUAAGGGACUUACCUGCAGGACUGGGAUAACAGGGGGAAACUCCUGACAAGACCGGAUAAUGUCAUGGAGCUGCAUGGCUUUAUGAUGAAAGGAGACGCCUGCGGAGAGCCUUGCGUCCUAUUAGCUAGUUGGUGAGGUAAUGGCUCACCAAGGCGAAGAUAGGUAGCCGGCCUGAGAGGGUGGACGGCCACAAGGGGACUGAGAUACGGCCGUUAGGCCUACGGGAGGCAGCAGUGGGGAAUAUUGGACAAUGGGGGCAACUCUGAUGCAGCAAUUCUGUGUGCACGAAGAAGGUUUUCGGAUUGUAAAGUGCUUUCAGCAGGGAAGAAGUAAGUGACGGUACCUGCAGAAGAAGCGACGGCUAAAUACGUG
Molecule: ribosomal RNA, 463 nt
Filed under: uncultured bacterium
Lineage: Bacteria
Description: partial 16S ribosomal RNA
Rfam family: Bacterial small subunit ribosomal RNA
Source: RNAcentral